Molecule: ribosomal RNA, 513 nt
Filed under: uncultured bacterium
Lineage: Bacteria
Description: bacterial SSU rRNA
Rfam family: Bacterial small subunit ribosomal RNA
Source: RNAcentral
GAGUUUGAUUAUGGCUCAGGAUGAACGCUAGCGACAGGCCUAACACAUGCAAGUCGAGGGGCAGCGCGGAGUAGCAAUACUUGGCGGCGACCGGCGCACGGGUGAGUAACACGUAUGCAACCAACCCAUAACAGGGGGAUAACCCGGAGAAAUCCGGACUAAUACCGCAUAAGGCCACGAUAUCGCAUGAUAUAGAGGUCAAAUAUUUAUAGGUUAUGGACGGGCAUGCGUCUGAUUAGCUGGUGGCGGGUAACGGCCCACCAAGGCAUCGAUCAGUAGGGGUUCUGAGAGGAAGGUCCCCCACAUUGGAACUGAGACACGGUCCAAACUCCUACGGGAGGCAGCAGUGAGGAAUAUUGGUCAAUGGGCGAAAGCCUGGACCAGCCAUGUCGCGUGAAGGAAUGAAGGUCCUAUGGAUUGUAAACUUCUUUGCAGGAGGGUAAAGUGAGCUACGUGUAGUUCAUUGCAAGUACCCUGCGAAUAAGCAUCGGCUAACUCCGUGCCAGCAGCCGC